GAUGAACGCUAGCGGGAGGCCUAACACAUGCAAGCCGAGCGGUAGAGUCUCUUCGGAGACUUGAGAGCGGCGCACGGGUGCGGAACACGUGUGCAACCUGCCUUUAUCUGGGGGAUAGCCUUUCGAAAGGAAGAUUAAUACCCCAUAAUAUACUGGAUGGCAUCAUCUGGUAUUGAAAACUCCGGUGGAUAGAGAUGGGCACGCGCAAGAUUAGAUAGUUGGUGAGGUAACGGCUCACCAAGUCUACGAUCUUUAGGGGGCCUGAGAGGGUGAUCCCCCACACUGGUACUGAGACACGGACCAGACUCCUACGGGAGGCAGCAGUGAGGAAUAUUGGACAAUGGGUGAGAGCCUGAUCCAGCCAUCCCGCGUGAAGGACGACGGCCCUAUGGGUUGUAAACUUCUUUUGUAUAGGGAUAAACCUAGAUACGUGUAUCUAGCUGAGGGUACUAUACGAAUAAGCACCGGCUAACUCCGUGCCAGCAGCCGCGGUAAUACGGAGGGUGCAAGCGUUAUCCGGAUUUAUUGGGUUUAAAGGGUCCGUAGGCUGAUUUGUAAGUCAGUGGUGAAAUCUCACAGCUUAACUGUGAAACUGCCAUUGAUACUGCAAGUCUUGAGUGUUGUUGAAGUAGCUGGAAUAAGUAGUGUGGCGGUGAAAUGCAUAGAUAUUACUUAGAACACCAAUUGCGAAGGCAGGUUACUAAGCAACAACUGACGCUGAUGGACGAAAGCGUGGGGAGCGAACAGGAUUAGAUACCCUGGUAGUCCACGCCGUAAACGAUGCUAACUCGUUUUUGGGUUUUCGGAUUCAGAGACUAAGCGAAAGUGAUAAGUUAGCCACCUGGGGAGUACGAACGCAAGUUUGAAACUCAAAGGAAUUGACGGGGGCCCGCACAAGCGGUGGAUUAUGUGGUUUAAUUCGAUGAUACGCGAGGAACCUUACCAAGGCUUAAAUGGGAAAUGACAGGUUUAGAAAUAGACUUUUCUUCGGACAUUUUUCAAGGUGCUGCAUGGUUGUCGUCAGCUCGUGCCGUGAGGUGUUAGGUUAAGUCCUGCAACGAGCGCAACCCCUGUCACUAGUUGCCAUCAUUAAGUUGGGGACUCUAGUGAGACUGCCUACGCAAGUAGAGAGGAAGGUGGGGAUGACGUCAAAUCAUCACGGCCCUUACGCCUUGGGCCACACACGUAAUACAAUGGCCGGUACAGAGGGCAGCUACACAGUGAUGUGAUGCAAAUCUCGAAAGCCGGUCUCAGUUCGGAUUGGAGUCUGCAACUCGACUCUAUGAAGCUGGAAUCGCUAGUAAUCGCGCAUCAGCCAUGGCGCGGUGAAUACGUUCCCGGGCCU
This 1345-nucleotide ribosomal RNA is filed under the name uncultured bacterium. Its description in RNAcentral is "bacterial SSU rRNA". It matches the Rfam family "Bacterial small subunit ribosomal RNA", at positions 28 to 1381 of the family's 1533-position model. The record is from RNAcentral.